RNAcentral lists this ribosomal RNA (473 nucleotides) under uncultured bacterium. RNAcentral describes it as "bacterial SSU rRNA". It matches the Rfam family "Bacterial small subunit ribosomal RNA", at positions 328 to 793 of the family's 1533-position model. The record is from RNAcentral.
CUCUGUGUCUCCUACGGGAGGCAGCAGUGGGGAAUAUUGCACAAUGGGCGCAAGCCUGAUGCAGCCAUGCCGCGUGUAUGAAGAAGGCCUUCGGGUUGUAAAGUACUUUCAGCAGUGAGGAAGGCGAGUACGUUAAUAGCGUGCUCGUUUGACGUUAGCUGCAGAAGAAGCACCGGCUAACUCCGUGCCAGCAGCCGCGGUAAUACGGAGGGUGCGAGCGUUAAUCGGAAUUACUGGGCGUAAAGCGCAUGCAGGUGGUUUGUUAAGUCAGAUGUGAAAGCCCCGGGGCUCAACCUCGGAAUUGCAUUUGAAACUGGCAGACUAGAGUACUGUAGAGGGGGUAGAAUUUCAGGUGUAGCGGUGAAAUGCGUAGAGAUCUGAAGGAAUACCGGUGGCGAAGGCGGCCCCCUGGACAGAUACUGACACUCAGAUGCGAAAGCGUGGGGAGCAAACAGGAUUAGAUACCCUGGUAG